GACGAACGCUGGCGGCGUGCUUAACACAUGCAAGUCGAACGAAGAGCGAUGGAAGCUUGCUUCUAUCAAUCUUAGUGGCGAACGGGUGAGUAACGCGUAAUCAACCUGCCCUUCAGAGGGGGACAACAGUUGGAAACGACUGCUAAUACCGCAUACGAUCUAAUCUCGGCAUCGAGGAUAGAUUAAAGGUGGCCUCUACAUGUAAGCUAUCACUGAAGGAGGGGAUUGCGGCUGAUUAGCUAGUUGGAGGGGUAACGGCCCACCAAGGCGAUGAUCAGUAGCCGGUCUGAGAGGAUGAACGGACACAUUGGGACUGAGACACGGCCCAGACUACUACGGGAGGGAGCAGUGGGGAAUCUUCAGCAAUGGAAGAAAGUCUGACGGAGCAACGCCGCGUGAGUGAUGACGGCCUUCGGGUUGUAAAGCUCUGUUAAUCGGGACGAAAGGCCUUCUUGCGAAUAGUGAGAAGGAUUGACGGUACCGGAAUAGAAAGCCACGGCUAACUACGUG
This 510-nucleotide ribosomal RNA is filed under the name uncultured bacterium. RNAcentral describes it as "partial 16S ribosomal RNA". It matches the Rfam family "Bacterial small subunit ribosomal RNA", at positions 28 to 507 of the family's 1533-position model. The record is from RNAcentral.